AAGUCGUAACAAGGUUUCCGUAGGUGAACCUGCGGAAGGAUCAUUAACACGUAUCCAAACGUUAAAACCCCCCCCGUGAACCUUCAUCCUGCUCUUGUAACCCGCGUAGUUCGCAAUCUCUGAUAAAUCAUAGCCCGGAAAGUUGUAGUGAUUCAGAGACCUCUGGCUACGUGCGAACAUUGGAACAGUUACAAUCGAGCGGUAGUUCUAUAGGCAAUGUUUCCCCAAGCAGUCAGUGUCGGAAAGUGUCAUUGAUUGUGCAAGGAUAGCGCAGUUUAAUGUGAAGCUCAAUGUAAUACAUUGGGUAGAAAAACCGAACAACUGUUAACAGUGGAUAUCUUGGUUCUC
This 348-nucleotide unclassified non-coding RNA is filed under the name fungal sp. RNAcentral's name for it is "partial internal transcribed spacer region". The stretch from base 1 to 46 matches the Rfam family "Eukaryotic small subunit ribosomal RNA", at positions 1786 to 1831 of the family's 1831-position model. Lineage: Eukaryota; Fungi. The record is from RNAcentral.